GAUGAACGCUGGCGGCGUGCCUAAUACAUGCAAGUCGAGCGAACGGACGAGAAGCUUGCUUUUCUGAUGUUAGCGGCGGACGGGUGAGUAACACGUGGAUAACCUACCUAUAAGACUGGGAUAACUUCGGGAAACCGGAGCUAAUACCGGAUAAUAUUUUGAACCGCAUGGUUCAAAAGUGAAAGACGGUCUUGCUGUCACUUAUAGAUGGAUCCGCGCUGCAUUAGCUAGUUGGUAAGGUAACGGCUUACCAAGGCAACGAUGCAUAGCCGACCUGAGAGGGUGAUCGGCCACACUGGAACUGAGACACGGUCCAGACUCCUACGGGAGGCAGCAGUAGGGAAUCUUACGCAAUGGGCGAAAGCCUGACGGAGCAACGCCGCGUGAGUGAUGAAGGUCUUCGGAUCGGAAAACUCUGUUAUUAGGGAAGAACAUAUGUGUAAGUAACUGUGCACAUCUUGACGGUACCUAAUCAGAAAGCCACGGCUAACUACGUG
RNAcentral lists this ribosomal RNA (497 nucleotides) under uncultured bacterium. RNAcentral describes it as "partial 16S ribosomal RNA". It matches the Rfam family "Bacterial small subunit ribosomal RNA", at positions 28 to 507 of the family's 1533-position model. The record is from RNAcentral.